GACGAACGCUGGCGGCGUGCUUAACACAUGCAAGUCGAACGGAAAGGCCCUGCUUUUGUGGGGUGCUCGAGUGGCGAACGGGUGAGUAACACGUUAGUAACCUGCCCUUGACUUUGGGAUAACUUCAGGAAACUGGGGCUAAUACCGGAUAGGAGCUCCUGCUGCAUGGUGGGGGUUGGAAAGUUUCGGCGGUUGGGGAUGGACUCGCGGCUUAUCAGCUUGUUGGUGGGGUAGUGGCUUACCAAGGCUUUGACGGGUAGCCGGCCUGAGAGGGUGACCGGCCACAUUGGGACUGCGAUACGGCCCAGACUCCUACGGGAGGCAGCAGUGGGGAAUAUUGCACAAUGGCCGGAAGCCUGAUGCAGCAACGCCGCGUGCGGGAUGACGGCCUUCGGGUUGUAAACCGCUUUCGCCUGUGACGAAGCGUGAGUGGCGGUAAUGGGUAAAGAAGCCCCGGCUAACUACGUG
This 468-nucleotide ribosomal RNA is filed under the name uncultured bacterium. Its description in RNAcentral is "partial 16S ribosomal RNA". It matches the Rfam family "Bacterial small subunit ribosomal RNA", at positions 28 to 507 of the family's 1533-position model. The record is from RNAcentral.